Molecule: ribosomal RNA, 253 nt
Filed under: uncultured bacterium
Lineage: Bacteria
Description: partial 16S ribosomal RNA
Rfam family: Bacterial small subunit ribosomal RNA
Source: RNAcentral
UACGUAGGGGGCAAGCGUUGUCCGGAUCUAUUGGGCGUAAAGAGCGUGUAGGCGGCCAGGUAGGUCUGCUGUGAAAACUCGAGGCUUAACCUCGAGCUGUCGGCGGAAACCAUCUGGCUAGAGUCCGGAAGAGGAGAAUGGAAUUCCCGGUGUAGCGGUGAAAUGCGCAGAUAUCGGGAAGAACACCCGUGGCGAAGGCGGUUCUCUGGGACGGUACUGACGCUGAGACGCGAAAGCGUGGGGAGCGAACAGG